AUGCACGCUGGCGGCGUGCCUAAUACAUGCAAGUCGAGCGAACAGACGAGGAGCUUGCUCCUCUGACGUUAGCGGCGGACGGGUGAGUAACACGUGGAUAACCUACCUAUAAGACUGGGAUAACUUCGGGAAACCGGAGCUAAUACCGGAUAAUAUAUUGAACCGCAUGGUUCAAUAGUGAAAGACGGUUUUGCUGUCACUUAUAGAUGGAUCCGCGCCGCAUUAGCUAGUUGGUAAGGUAACGGCUUACCAAGGCGACGAUGCGUAGCCGACCUGAGAGGGUGAUCGGUCACACUGGAACUGAGACACGGUCCAGACUCCUACGGGAGGCAGCAGUAGGGAAUCUUCCGCAAUGGGCGAAAGCCUGACGGAGCAACGCCGCGUGAGUGAUGAAGGUCUUCGGAUCGUAAAACUCUGUUAUUAGGGAAGAACAAAUGUGUAAGUAACUAUGCACGUCUUGACGGUACCUAAUCAGAAAGCCACGGCUAACUACGUG
Molecule: ribosomal RNA, 496 nt
Filed under: uncultured bacterium
Lineage: Bacteria
Description: partial 16S ribosomal RNA
Rfam family: Bacterial small subunit ribosomal RNA
Source: RNAcentral